Molecule: unclassified non-coding RNA, 201 nt
Filed under: Hevea brasiliensis (rubber tree)
Lineage: Eukaryota; Viridiplantae; Streptophyta; Magnoliopsida; Malpighiales; Euphorbiaceae
Source: RNAcentral
AGGACUUCUGCAUUAUUACUCUCAUCAGGAACAGCAAGAGCACUGCUAUCAAGCACAGGCUGGUCUGUACCACUAAAAGCAAGUGAUAGAGAAUGAUUAUGUUCAGCAGGAGCAGUACUAAGACCAAAAUCUUGUAAACCUCUCAUUCUCGGAAGUACACCAGCAUUAUCAACAUCCCCACUAAGUUGAUUUCGAUCUUUG